This 268-nucleotide ribosomal RNA is filed under the name Escherichia coli. RNAcentral's name for it is "partial 23S ribosomal RNA". It matches the Rfam family "Bacterial large subunit ribosomal RNA", at positions 2663 to 2925 of the family's 2925-position model. RNAcentral also lists the same sequence under 14 other names. The record is from RNAcentral. Lineage: Bacteria; Pseudomonadati; Pseudomonadota; Gammaproteobacteria; Enterobacterales; Enterobacteriaceae.
UGAGGGGGGCUGCUCCUAGUACGAGAGGACCGGAGUGGACGCAUCACUGGUGUUCGGGUUGUCAUGCCAAUGGCACUGCCCGGUAGCUAAAUGCGGAAGAGAUAAGUGCUGAAAGCAUCUAAGCACGAAACUUGCCCCGAGAUGAGUUCUCCCUGACUCCUUGAGAGUCCUGAAGGAACGUUGAAGACGACGACGUUGAUAGGCCGGGUGUGUAAGCGCAGCGAUGCGUUGAGCUAACCGGUACUAAUGAACCGUGAGGCUUAACCUU